Molecule: long non-coding RNA, 3104 nt
Filed under: Salmo salar (Atlantic salmon)
Lineage: Eukaryota; Metazoa; Chordata; Actinopteri; Salmoniformes; Salmonidae
Description: lncRNA (ENSSSAG00000086734.1, ENSSSAG00000101727.1)
Source: RNAcentral
UUCAUUAUUAAAGAUUUGAGAUGUUAAGUAUUUAUAGACAAGCCUGGCAAAAAUAGUAAAGCUUUAUAAAGCCAUGGGUUGUAACUGAUGGCAAUUCUGUUACCAUUCAGAUGUGCCACUCUGUGACUGUUGUUGUGAUCACUUACCAUUUCUGCUGGCUACUCAGCAUCCAGAGCAUCUCAAUAUGUCCUGGACAGUGGUCAGCCCCAUUGUGUUCACCUACAGAGUGAUCCAAUGCCACAACCUGCUGGAUGAUGGGAACGACCCACUGCUGUGUGGUCGUAUGGAGGACCAGGAGGAGCUCAAGGCCAUCAGAAGCAACACCAAGCGCAUCAACGGCUUCAUUGUCAUUGAUGAGACAGUCAAUCAGCUCUAUGGCUCCCAGGUCACCAGGUACUUUGAUGCCAGAAAGGAGAACAGGUCCAUUAAAUGUUCUCUAUAGGAUCCUCCUACUGCCCACUACAGAGGAGAACAGGUCCAUUAAAUGUUCUCUAUAGGAUCCUCCCACUGCCCACUAAUCAAACCAAAUCAAAUGUAUUUAUAUAGCCCUUCUUACAUCAGCUGAUAUCUCAAAGUGCUGUACAGAAACCCAGCCUAAAACCCCAAACAGCAAGCAAUGCUGGUGUAGAAGCACGGUGGCUAGGAAAAACUCCCUAGAAAGGCCAAAACCUAGGAAGAAACCUGGAGAGGAACCAGGCUAUGAGGGGUGGCCAGUCCUCUUCUGGCUGUGCCGGGUGGAGAUUAUAACAGCACAUGGCCUAGAUGUUCAAAUGUUCAUAAAUGACCAGCAUGGUCAAAUAAUAAUAAUCAUAGUAGUUGUCGAGGGUGCAACAAGUCAGUAACACAAGAGUAAGUGUCAGUUGGCUUUUUCAUAGCCGAUCUUUGAGAGUAUCUCUACCGCUCCUGCUGUCUCUAGAGAGUUGAAAACAGCGGGUCUGGGACAGGUAGCACGUCCGGUGAAUAGGUCAGGGUUCCAGCAGGUCUGGGACAGCAGGUCUGGGACAGGUAGCACGUCCAGUGAACAGGUCAGGGUUCCAUAGCUGCAGGCAGAACAGUUGGAACUGGAGCAGCAGCACGGCCAGGUGAACUGGGGACAGCAAGGAGUCAUCAAGCCAGGUAGUCCUGAGGCAUGGUCCUAGGGCUCAGGUCCUCCGAGAGAGAGAGAGAAAGAGAGAAUUAGAGAGAGCAUAUUUAAAUUCACACAGGACACCGGAAAAGACAAGAGAAAUACUCCAGAUGUGACAGACUGACCCUAGCCCCCCGACACAUAAACUACUGCAGCAUAAAUACUGGAGGCUGAGACAGGAGGGGUCAGGAGACACUAUGGCCCCAUCCGAUGAAACCCCCGGACAGGGCCAAACAGGUAGGAUAUAACCCCACCCACUUUGCCAAAGCACAGCCUCCACACCACUGGAGGGAUAUCUCCAACCACCAACAUACCAUCCCGGGACAAGGCCGAGUAUAGCCCACAAAGAUCUCCGCCACGGCACAGCCCAAGGGGGGCGCCAAUCCAGACAGGAAGACCACGUCAGUGACUCAACCCACUCAAGUGACGCACCCCUCCCAGGGACGGCAUGGAAGAACACCAGUAAGCCAGUGACUCAGCCCCCGUAAUAGGGGUAGAGGCAGAGAAUCCCAGUGGAAAGAGGGGAAACCGGCCAGGCAGAGACAGCAAAGGCGGUUCGUUGCUCCAGCCUUUCCGUUCACCUUCACACCCCUGGGCCAGACUACAGAGGAGAACAGGUCCAUUAAAUAUUCUCUAUAGGAUCCUCCCACUGCCCACUACAGAGGACAACAAGUCCAUGGAGCACAUGACCAGGAUUCUGGAGGAGGUCCACAAGUUUGGCAUAGACAGGCGCUCUGAGCCCCUCAUUGCUAUUGGAGCAGGGGUGUGUCUGGAUGUGGUGGGCCUAGCUGUUUCUUUCUACCGGAGACUAACCCCUUAUAUCCGUGUCCCGACCACCCUGCUCUUCUACAUUGAUGCCAGUGUGGGGGCUAAAACUGGAGUCAACUUUGUCAAUGGAAAGAACAAGCUGGGGAGUUACACCCCCCCGGUCGCAACGUUUUUAGACUGGACUGUUCCUCGCCGGCAGGUUUCUAUUGGGAUGGCGGGAUGGCAGAAAUGUUAAAGGUACUCAUCACAAUAUGUAUGUGGGUUGAAUAUGUGUCAGCAUUACAAACUGAGCAUAUCAUCUUUCUAAAAUGACUGAACACUGUUCUGUGCAUUUCGAGACCUAUCUGGACAACGGGACAAGCGUCCCUUAACAGCAAGAUAUGGUUGUAUUUGUCUGCUCUCUAUUACAUGUCUAUUACACUCUUUACUAAUCACCAUUACUAAUGAACAAACACUUUUUACAAGCCUAAACCACCCCAUUGAUAGUGUCUUACUUACAUUGUGUUUCCAAACUCUGUAUGGAGCUAAUAAAUCAGCUAUGGCCAUCAUCCUUUGUGUUCUAGAUGGCCCUGAUGAUACACAGGGGCCUGUUUGAACUUCUGGAGACUGAAGGUGGGGACCUGCUGGACUCCAGCUUCCAGUCCUGUGACCAGAAGACCAGUGGCUGCUGUGACCUGGAGGAUGCUGCCACUACAUCCCCACGGAUUGCCAUAGAAACCAUGCUAGAUGAGUUGACUCUGGACAGACUGGUGGACUUUGGCCACCUAGUCAGCCCUGAGCUAAGAAUGGUAAAACGUUUAUCACUGAGUUAAUAUGGAAGGGAUAUGAAAGGAUGGAGAAAACGGCAUCAGGGAAGGUGUGAAUGCUCAGAUAUAUUUUUGACAAGUGAAGAGACAAUUUGGCAAAUAUGCAUGCAGUAUAACUUGACCUUCUUUGCAGAAAGUGCUGACUGUGCUGCUCCACGGGGAGGCGUGAACAUCGACAUGUCCUUCAUGGUGUACGUGGCCCACCAGAAAGGGCUCCAGACAGAAGAGGAGAAGGCCCGGAUCAGCCACUGCAUGAUGGAGCUGGAGCUGCCUGUGUGGCACCAGGACUGCACUCUGGUUCUGGUGCAGAAGUCUCUGAGUGAACGUCUGAAACACUCUGCAGGGUCCCUGAGGAUGCCUCUUCACACAGGACUGUGCUGUGCAGGUCUGGACAUCUUUCCUUU